This 275-nucleotide ribosomal RNA is filed under the name uncultured bacterium. Its description in RNAcentral is "partial 16S ribosomal RNA". It matches the Rfam family "Bacterial small subunit ribosomal RNA", at positions 338 to 627 of the family's 1533-position model. The record is from RNAcentral.
CCUACGGGGGGCUGCAAUUAGGAAUCUUGUGCAAUGGGCGAAAGCCUGACACAGCGACGCCGCGUGGAGGACGACGGUCUUCGGAUUGUAAACUCCUUUUAGACAGGAAGAAGACAGUGACGGUACUGUUAGAAUAAGCCCCGGCUAACUCCGUGCCAGCAGCCGCGGUAAUACGGGGGGGGCGAGCGUUGUCCGAAGUUACUGGGCGUAAAGAGCGCGUAGGCGGGGUGUCACGUCCGCUGUGAAAGCCUGGAGCUUAACUCCAGCGGGUCGGU